This is a long non-coding RNA of Dromaius novaehollandiae (emu), 7587 nucleotides long. RefSeq lists it as uncharacterized. NCBI's taxonomy places the organism in Eukaryota, Metazoa, Chordata, Aves, Casuariiformes, Dromaiidae. The transcript is spliced from 4 exons. The record is from RefSeq and is a predicted model, not a curated record.
CGCGUCCUACUUGGGGUGGACGGUGGCGCUGCCAACGCGAGGCUACGGCGCGGGGAACGAUUUCGCGCGGGGGAGGAGGAGGAGGAGGAGGAGGGGGGCGGCAGGCCGGCGGCGGCGGGACGGAGGCGGCUCGGCGCUUUGUCCGCCCCGUUCGCCCCCCGCGCGGACAAUGAGCCCCCGCGGGCGCGCAGGGCCGCGGCGGGUGCCUUUGCGCCGAGAGCCCUCCUCCCUCCUCCUCCUCCUCCACCUCCUCGUCGUCGUCGCCCAGGACUUUUUAAAGUUUAAAGAGCACGGUUACAUAAAUCUGCCCGUCUUUGUCCGCCAGACAUUUUACUGGCGAGCGGAAAAACUGCGGGGCCGCGGCCGGCCGCCCCCCUGCGCCCUCCCCCGAGCGCGCCCGGCUUCCCGGAGAGCAUCUGGAGAGAGGGAGAGAGAGAGAAAGGGCGCGUUCAUGAGGACUACAAAGUUACAAAUAUGGCUCCCCAGUCUCUCUUGCCUGAUCACUGCAAAGAAAUGAAGACGCACUUUAAACUAAACCAUUUGCAACUCACUCACAGUCUCUGUCUGUCUCUCCCUGCCCAGCACCCAGUACAAAUAUUUGCAAACUAAACACGCCAGAGAGGAGCACCAACUUAUUUUUAUUUAAUGCACUGCAAGCCCCUUUAAUGCAUUGCACACCAGCCGAGUCAGGAGCAGCGUAUAGUUUCCCCCUCGACCACAACGCGUGCGCCUUCGGGCACCCCAAAUUGGGUGCACAGACACACACACACACACAGGUAGGCACCUCAAGGGCAGCAGCGGCCCCCGCGCCGGCUGGCACCUUCCCCACCGCCGUGCCCCCGCACCCCGGACCCCGCCGGGGUCUCGCUGCACCCCCCUCCCCCCCCCCCCCAAAAAUGUGGGAUGGAUUUUUUUUUUUUUUUUUUUUGCAUUGCUUACAUCUGAGGGCGUCCUGUUCCGCAGCUCUAAGUGGAUCCUUUUCUUCAUGUCCAUGUCCGCGGCUGGCAGGAGUGGCUCGCUGUCGCCGGCCCCGCUCGUGCACCGACACCGAUGGAGACCCCCCCAAAGCCAGCGCGGGGAGCGACUUUGAGGGCGCAACCAGCUCCGCUCGGAAUCCCGAGCCCCAGCACCGCGGCGAACACUAACCUGAUCGCUGCGGGGGCGGGCGCUCCCGCCUGACUGACGCCGGCGCCCGCCAACCGCCGCCGGCCGCAGCCGAGGGGGCGGGCCGAGCGGCGGCGGGAGCCAAUGGGGGAGCGGCGAAGCCGGCCAGGGGGACAGCCCGGCUGGGAGCGGAGGAUCAUUCCGUGCUGGUGGCUGCUGGGGAAGGAGCGGCGGCGGCUCCGCGCUGGGGAUGGGGCGCGCUCUCCCGUCGCCCCCCCCCUUCCCCCCCGCGCUCCCCCGCCUUCCGGAUCCUGGGGGAGGCGCCGAGGCGCGGGGCGGGGAGCGGCGCUAGAGCCGGCCGGGCAGGGGCGCGAAGCCAGGCGGGAGGGAAAGGCAGCUUUCCGAGAUGAGGUGCCAAACGCGCCCUGGCAGGACUCGCCGCCCGCGUCGAGGCCCGGAGCCGCCGGUGUCCCCGUGACGGCGAAGCCCCUCGGCCGCUGGGCUCGUCGGGCCUGGGGGACCGCUCGCCCCGCGCUUGGCAGGUGGCAGGCGUGAACACAAGUGGCCCUUGGGCUGAGGCUUCACAAAGGAAGGUUUGGUCUGGAGGUUUUAAUGGCACAGGCGAUGACCUUUGGAAAAAAGCUUUUAUCAUGGACACCAAGUAUCUGUAAGAAUUAACUAAACCAGCAUCAUUUAAAAAAAAAAAGUUUCUGAGAAUGCAGAAAUGUUUUCCUCUUCGAGAGCAAGUUGUAAGUUCAAAUUGUAUUUGAAUAUAUAAAGUUGUAUAAAGUUGUAAAUUGUUCUCCUCCAAAAUACUGAGUGAAAUUUAUUCAAACAAAAAAAAGUUUGAAGGUGUUGACUUCCUCUCUGCCCCAUGCAUGCACACGCUACUCUUAUUACAGGAAUUUUAGAAGUCUUGAAAACUGUUGGGAGAACUGAAAUGAAAGGAAAUGUUCCAAAGGCUAAAUAUCUAAGCAGCCCAUCACAGUGGUAAAUACAUUUUAAAUAACAUUUUUGUGGGUACAGCUUUCUUAAAAUAAUUUUUUAAAUCUCUGGUCAGUGAGUUAGUUAUUAGAUGUAGGAUAAAAGAAAAAGUAAAUCAGUUUAAAAGAUUGAUAUGAUUAUGCCAUUUAAAUUAAGGAUUCAGUUUUUUUCCUUUAAUAGGAGAAGAAACUGUUGCAUCUUGAUGAAGCAAAAUUAAGCCUUAGUUGAGGUAUUUUUUUAUUAUGCAUUUUCAUGAAUAAAGCUGUCAGCUCUAUCUGUUAUAGACAUCGUUAAUGGGAAACACUCUGUACUAGCAAAAUAUAUGGAAUUCUGUCUUGUCAGAGUCUUAACAGCUGGGCAGCAAAAGUUCUGCUUAUAGUGGUGGGAAACUACUUUUUAGUUUUCCCUGGUUAGUCUCCCAUUGGAAGAUGAAAAUAUUCUCCAUUCCUAUUGGUAUGUUCCGGCUUUUCAAACCUUGAGUAUAAAGAAGUUAAUGCUGUGAGUGUAAGAUUCACUACAGUUAAUGUUUGUUUUUGUACAUAGUUCCCAUAGUUGUCCAAUUUCCUCAUUAUUCAAAAUAAUCUGUAAAUAACUAUGUAGAUGUUGAAUUCUAAAUGCAGGUUUGCAUGUAGAAGCUGGCCAUCAUACUUCAGCAUCCUGGGCCAAAAUUUAAAAUAUUAAAAAUACUCAUUCUAAAAGAUAUUGAAGCUCUUCAGUUAUUGCCGGAACUGAAUUAGGUUUUCAAGUGCUUCUAUAUGAUUAUCUUUUAGAUAUGUUCUGAUCUAGCAUUAAGAGCUAUUUAGUGUUGCUGCUGGUUUGAUCAAUUAGGUGAUUUCAGGUCACUUCAUCCAGAAUUAGUAUUUUGCUACAUAGUUCUGUGCAUGCUUUCUGGUGGUGGAUGUUGUUUUUUAAACAUGAAAUACUGCAGUCUUACAUCAAGUUUUAUAUGAAGGUCAGCUGGACCCUAAGUAUAUGGUUCAUACUGUAGAAGCCAGUAGAAUUUCUCAUGUCAGAAAGUUACUGGGUAGUUGAACAUUUGCUGAAAUGAGCUCCUGACUGGCUUUUGUGGCUUAUAUCAGCUGAUCUACAAAGGAGUAUUAUUUGUCCCUACUGCAUCUAAACAAUGCGUUCCUUCAUUUUUUUGUGUAGCAUCUUCUUCAGUCAUUUCUUGUGUAUGUAGAUACGGUAGCUGGAAAGAGAAGACUCUGCUCUUAAAUUGCUGUUCUUCCUUGCCCUUACCCCCCAGUGUAGCUGGAUAAUUGGUCAUUAAGGGGAAUUUACAAUGAUAUUGAUCACAGGUAUCGAGGAAUGCUGGGGAAACGGAACAAAAAUGCGUGUAGGGAAACUAUAACUAAGUUUUCUGACAACACAAAUUUACACUCUGAGACCCUUAAAAUCAAUAUGGCAGUGCUAGAGACAGAAUGAAGAAAAAAAGGAAAAUAAAAAGCUGAAGUCUUUGGGCAAAUAAGCACUGGAGCUUAGCACCACUUUAAGAGGCUCAAAUGUUUGUACUGUGCCUUUUGUCUCUAGUUCACUUGUUUAAGUCUAUCCCAGGUCAAUACUGGUUAGCAAGGUACAAGCAGGAGGGUCAGAUUUAGAUCCAGAGAUGUUCUUGUCUGCUGUUAUUUGCUCAGAGUUUUUGAUGUAAUCAGUCCUUCGAGGGAGUUAGACAAGUUCAAAACAAUAUGAUUUCUAGUGCUGACUUCUGGGACUGGUAUAUAAUUGCUCUGACAUAUGAAUGAUUCCCAUUGGUUUCUGUAUUAAUUGCUUGCAAAUACGGCAUAGUUGUGUCAUAAUGUUCUAUUUUCUUGUUAUGUUUCAGAUAAGAGAAUAAUAUACAACUGGGAAGCUCAGAUAAGGAAUGCAGAAAGGUUAUUUAAAGCAAUAUAUAGAAUGGGAGGGAACUACUUUAACAAACUAGGUGAAGAAGGAAUUAAUUUGUAUAUGGAAUGAACUAAUAUACUGUAGUCUGUUCUGCAGAAAUACUCUUAAACUUGCAAGAUCAUAUAUAAGGAGGAAAUAAGAUACUCUGCACUAUUUUGAUUGUCAUCUCCCUGGCAUUCCAGAGGGAAAUACUGGCAAAAAAAGUACAGUGAAAGAGGGAUCCAUCCAGUGAAAAAAAAUGAGACAAGAUUCUGAUUUUUAUUUAUUAAUUUAUUUUAAGACCUAAGUCCACUACUGAGGAAUAGCAUGACUGAUUGUUUCAAGUUUCCUUUUGUUAUGCUUCAGGCUUUCUUGGAAAAAACAUUUUCUCUGCAUCUCAUUUUUCCCUCUCCAUAAUGUGGGGAUACUAUGUAAAAACACUCUAUUCAGUGAAAUUUAAGUAAAUAUGGGUAAAAAACAUUUUUCAGGAUUCUAUACAGAAGGCAGCAUGUUAAUGAAAAAUAUUUUUAAGUGAACGUAGCGUUACGAUAACAUUGCCUAGUCUUCCUACGUUUCUCAUUACAAUUUCCUACAUUUCUGUACACGUAGGUUAUUCUCUGGGCUAUAUGAGCUAGCAGUACUAUUUUGGGGGGGGGAUUUUUUGUUUGUUUGUUUUUUCCCUGUUCCAGCAACAGCACACCUUUCUACCUCGGGUGCCUAAGCUUUUUUGUGGAAGUAUUGUCACCACUGCCAGCUCAAGGCUAUCAGGGCUGUGUUUGGCUGUGGUGCUAGGGGUUUGCCAUCACUGGUUUAUUUCAUGUCACAUCCAUAGUGCCUAUUGGUAGUAUUCCGUGAUUUAGGAGAAGAAUGUGUACUUCAUCAGUUCUACAUUGAAGAUGUGUACCAGGAGGAAAUAAAGCAACGGUGUCAUCUCAGGUACUGGUUUCUCAGUCUAACAGUGCUCCUCCCAUUAAUUGUCUUUAGCAUGCAAUUAUACUAUUUCCAGUAAAUGUCAAAACUGCCCUUUUUUCCAGAGUUUAGUGUAGGAUGCUCUCUCUCUUUUCAUCUGCACAAUAUCAGGCAGGCCAGUGAAGCCUAAAAGUUCAUAAUCUUUAACAAAAGAAGGGAAGAAAUGAAGUUGCACAUGCUUUCGCUGGUCUGUAAGAAUAAACCGGUCAAUAUCUAUUUGUAAACCUUCCACAACUUGUACACCUUUUUUCUUUUUUAAAAAGUUUUCUGCAGUGUUUUGCACUACACCAUCUUUUUCCUAGUUUUCUGUUGUCAAAUAUGUUUUCUGUUUCCUGCCAAAACUGUUUGUUGUGCUUGUGGUGGACAAGAUUUGGAUUUAGGACAGGAUUUGGAUUUUUUUUUUUAAACAGAUGCAUUGUAUAUUGUCCCUUUUUGUGAAAAGAAUAUGUAAGAAUCUUCAUUAGAUUUAUCCUUUGAUGUUCUCUAGGUAACCAAAUCAUUCUUCAUGUAAAUUGGCAAAUUUCUUUGUAUUUCUUUUCUGAAGCAUUAAUCAUUUCAUUAUUAUGAAGAUAGGCUGAUGUCAUCACAGAUAAGUGCUUUUUCUAUGGCUGUGAUACUUUAUAUCAUUAUCAUAAAGAUUCCCCUACAGAGUUUAACCAAUGAAAAACAUUUAUGUGGUUAGUGAAGAGCAACAGUUCCGGAUUUCUGUAUACAUAUUGCAUAUCUUGUAACUGAGUAUUUGGCUAUUCUCACUGCUGUUGAUCUUCCAGGCCUGUGAAUGUAGCUGAAGCUAAAAUAGUCUUAUGGUUUAACUAGGACUUCAAAAAAAACUCUAAGCAAUAUUUGACUGGUUCUACUCUAUCUGGGGAGGGGGGGCGGAAAUGUACUUACAGGUUUUAUAUCUUACGCAAUGGUUAGGUUUUGUUCCUUUGAGGUACUUUCACUGAAUCAGAGUGUAUAUCUUGCUUAUACUCAAAAUAAGAAGCACCUACUGUAGAAAGGGUGUAUUGUACUAAACUUGCCGUGGUAGAUGUGAGUGCUUUCAAGUCUGACAGUUUAAGUAGUGAAGAUGAAAGUGAGGACAGUUCUUGGGCAGGGGACUUCAAGAGGAAUGUGAUUCAUAGGACACAGUUACCAGCGUAAUUACCAGUGCAGCUGCUGUAGUAACUUCUGCCAGUACUUAAAAAAAUCUGUCAUGUCCAAUGCUCUAUUGGUUGUAGUGUGAGUGAUAAAGAUGGGAGCAGCAGAAGUGUAAUAUCUUGUUCCACUUGCCAGCUUCAAACCUGUCUGAGCGAGUGGAGCUAUUUCUGCUAAGUUCGAAACUGACAUCAAAGCUUUGCAGGAUUUCCUGGAGUGUUGGGCUGCACUGAAAUUUUAGAAUUGGAGAUGGCAAGAUUUGUUUUGCUUUGUGUUUUCUAUAAAUAAAAACAAAAGGGCUGAGAUUCAGGUGGACUGAAUUUUUUUGAUAAUUAGUCAAAUUUGGCAAAUAAAUUAAGGCAAGAAAUAAAGAACCUUAAAUAUAAACACCAUUAUGGCACUUUGAAUACAUGAUGUUUUAUUUCAGUAGUACAUUUAUUUCUGUAUUGUAAUGAAUAGGAGUUUUCACCUUUUUUUAUGAUGAUACUUUCUAUUUGUCACUUCCUUAAAAUGUAGGUCAAACUUUUGAAGUAUUAAUAUUUUUUUUCCGAUUGUGUUGAGUGAAAGAUUUCAGAUCUGUUCCAAAAUAGAAUUUGGGGGUAAAGAGAUCUUGGAAAAAAAGGAGGGGAGGGAGGAAAUAGUCUGCUAGACCCAGGCUGCUUUAAUACACAUUUUUAGUUCAAAUGAGAAAAAAUAUGGGGGGGCACUUUUGAAAGCAAAUAUAAAAAUAUUUUUAUAUUUUCUCUCAUUAACAUAUCAUGCAUCCUCAACACUCAUGUUUCCAGCACACUAAAGAUAAGUGCAACUUCUGCUUAAGGUGAAUUGCCAAAAGUUGUACAACAGGGUAGCAUUAAAGAUGGCUCUAGAAUUAAGGAACUCUGAAUUUUAUAGGCAGAGCAGAUCUAUUUGACUGUCUAGCCCCUGCAUCUGCAUUAACAUCAUAAAAUUUCAUCUGUGCAAUAGAAAUAGUUAUUCACGCGCACAUACGCACAUGCGCACACAUACACGGAAACCUUCCCGAUUUCAUUGUCUUCCUCAUACUCUUCAAGGAAUUGCACGGUCUUGCUCUUCUCAGCCUUUCACUUGUCUGUCACUUUAUUUUGUCAUCUCCACCUCCCGUUUCUUAAGAAUUUACCUCCUUUAUUUUGUUUGGCAUUCUUGAGUAAAGGCUUUGGCAGCCUGAUUCAGGAGAGAGGUAAAUAGGAGUCAAGAGUUCCUGUAUACCAGGUUAUCACAAGAUUGUUACUUGUUUCGUGAAAAUAGUCUGUAAACAUUCCCGACUUGUUUCCCCCGUUGAUUGCUGUAGUACAAUUCUUACAGACUUAAAUUCAAGCAGAAUAUCGAUCCUACAGUAAAACUCUAGAACUGAGCUGUGCUAUAGAGCAAGAAGACUCCCUGUGCUCCUCCGAACACUUCCCAGCUGCAGACAGAAUGGUGGUAAGUCAUUUAGCUCAUCUGUAGCUUUCACAUGUCUGACAUAUAUAUGUAUGCACUGGGGCUCAGCCCUAAUAAAGUGACCUUUUUGUGGAA